AGAAUCAACGCUGGCGGCGCGCUUAACACAUGCAAGUCGCACGAGAAAGUGGAGCAAUCCAUGAGUAAAGUGGCGUACGGGUGAGUAACACGUGGAUCAUCUACCUUUUAGUGGGGAAUACCUCCGGGAAACUGGAGACAAUACCGCAUAAGCUCGUGAGAGGAAAGCCGAAAGGCGCUGAAAGAGGAGUCCGCGGCUGAUUAGCUAGUUGGCGGGGUAACGCCCACAAGGCGAAGAUCGGUA
Molecule: ribosomal RNA, 243 nt
Filed under: uncultured bacterium
Lineage: Bacteria
Description: partial small subunit ribosomal RNA
Rfam family: Bacterial small subunit ribosomal RNA
Source: RNAcentral